Molecule: ribosomal RNA, 497 nt
Filed under: uncultured bacterium
Lineage: Bacteria
Description: partial 16S ribosomal RNA
Rfam family: Bacterial small subunit ribosomal RNA
Source: RNAcentral
GAUGAACGCUGGCGGCGUGCCUAAUACAUGCAAGUCGAGCGAACGGACGAGAAGCUUGCUUCUCUGAUGUUAGCGGCGGACGGGUGAGUAACACGUGGAUAACCUACCUAUAAGACUGGGAUAACUUCGGGAAACCGGAGCUAAUACCGGAUAAUAUUUUGAACCGCAUGGUUCAAAAGUGAAAGACGGUCUUGCUUUCACUUAUAGAUGGAUCCGCGCUGCAUUAGCUAGUUGGUAAGGUAACGGCUUACCAAGGCAACGAUGCAUAGCCGACCUGAGAGGGUGAUCGGCCACACUGGAAAUGAGACACGGUCCAGACUCCUACGGGAGGCAGCAGUAGGGAAUCUUCCGCAAUGGGCGAAAGCCUGACGGAGCAACGCCGCGUGAGUGAUGAAGGUCUUCGGAUCGUAAAACUCUGUUAUUAGGGAAGAACAUAUGUGUAAGUAACUGUGCACAUCUUGACGGUACCUAAUCAGAAAGCCACGGCUAACUACGUG